Molecule: ribosomal RNA, 180 nt
Filed under: uncultured Glomeromycotina
Lineage: Eukaryota; Fungi; Glomeromycota
Description: partial small subunit ribosomal RNA
Source: RNAcentral
GGGUUCUACCGUUGGUCGGGCUAUAGUCUGUACUGGCGUGUGGAAUUUCUACCUUCUGGGGAACUAUCAUGUUAUUAAUUUAGCGUGGUAGGAAACCAGAACCUUUACCUUGAAAAAAUUGGAGUGUUUAAAGCAGGCUUUCAAGCUUGAACAUAUUAGCAUGGAAUAAUGAAAUAGGAC